CAGGGAGACAACAAAAUGUUUAAUAUUAUUAUUUUGUCACCUUAGGUCGAUCGGUAUCUCACGUUUUUAAUUUAUUAAGAAUUUCAUUUCCUAAGUUUUUCUAGGUCACACCCAUUAUUUUUCCUGGGCCAUUAGCUCAGGUGGUUAGAGCGCACCCCUGAUAAGGGUGAGGUCCCUGGUUCAAGUCCAGGAUGGCCCAUAUCUCUAUGUUGGGGGUAUAGCUCAGUUGGUAGAGCGCCUGCUUUGCAAGCAGGAUGUCAGCGGUUCGAGUCCGCUUACCUCCACUGAUCACCACCUCUUCCAUAAUCGGUAGAAAGGAAAUUUUUUGAGUUGUGAUCAAAUUCUGAAAGAAUCUAGCUUCCUAAUGAAAUCAUUAAGAUGCUGGACUCAUUGAAUUAAUUUCAUUGUUUUCAGAGAACCUUGACAACUGCAUAGAUUAUUUUUAAAGACAAUAAGCAUCUUUAAUGAUGCAGAUUUAUUAUUUGUGCAAAUGCAUUAAUAACAAUUCUAUUAAGCUGAUGCUUCA
This 526-nucleotide transfer RNA is filed under the name uncultured Prochlorococcus sp. Its description in RNAcentral is "partial 16S-23S ribosomal RNA intergenic spacer". The stretch from base 212 to 284 matches the Rfam family "tRNA". Lineage: Bacteria; Bacillati; Cyanobacteriota; Cyanophyceae; Synechococcales; Prochlorococcaceae. The record is from RNAcentral.